AACAUCGGUGCGAGUUUUAGCGAACAGCGUUGCUACAGCGAUUCUCCCUCCUGUUACCAGCAGCCAGGUAAGACCCAGCUUACCGAAGAUCUAUCUCACUCUGAAGAUGAAAAUGCUGUGAACCCCAACCCAAAAUAUAAGGCGCUACGGGAUCUGUUUAUCAAGCGUGGAAACUACCCAUGGGUAAUUUACGACGCAGCCCUCGCCAGAUGGAAGAAGUGGAAGAACUCUCGUCCUGUACUCAGCACCUUGCACCUGGACAUCCCAAGGGAAAGGGGGGAGCGGGAAAAACAAUCCUUCGGAGUACGGCCCCGGGGAUGCCACCCUGGCAGACUCGGCACCAGCCGCGAGAGCAAGAGCGAAAUAGAUUGUUAGAAGAAACAAACUGGAAAGUCAAAUAGAAACAAAGGAAAACCUGAAAAUAAGAACAAGGAAGGAACACUGUAACUUGAAAGAGCUAGCCUACAGAGGAAAGCUAAAGGAGGAUUGCGUGACCUGCUCAAGGAACUUCUGCAGGAGAGGAGGAAAAGCAGAAAAGUGCAACAGGACUGUCCAGUAGAGGACCAGGAGGAUGAGUGCCUUUCCACCUUGCAAGUUUUGAGACGACUGGUGUCCUAGACCUCGGAACCAAAGCACAUGCAGUACUAGCCCAUUUGUCCAGGCUACUCAGCCUUCAGCUGUAGGUUAUCAUGAAAUACCAGAGCUGGCAUCUAAAGUCACAGGCUACCGGAGGAAUUGCACCCUUAGACCACAUGCAGAAUGACAGGCUGCCUGACAACCCACUGAGGGUUGUGCUCUGAAACAAACUAAUAGAAAACAUUAUAUUAGUGGGUUAUUUCCUUUUCAUUGUCCUCCAUUCUUCAUUUUCCCUUUUGGUACCCUAAUUUUUUCUCUACCUUUAUUUUCCACUUAACGCAGAUUAGUAUCUUUGCUUCUCCACUUUGAUGUUUUAAGCUAUUUAGUCUGAUUUUAGGAUCAGACUGGAUAGAGACUUCUUUAUCUGUCUUCAACACUGUAUGUCUUUCCACCCUGAGCUGUGGAACAGGUGUAUACUUCAUAGACUCAUAGAAUGGUUUAGGUUGGAAGGGACUAAAGAUCAAUCAGUUUCAACCCCCCUGUCAUGGGCAGGGACACCUUCCACCAGACCAGGUUUCUC
Lepidothrix coronata (blue-crowned manakin) is the source of this 1156-nucleotide long non-coding RNA. RefSeq lists it as uncharacterized. The transcript is spliced from 3 exons. The record is from RefSeq and is a predicted model, not a curated record. Lineage: Eukaryota; Metazoa; Chordata; Aves; Passeriformes; Pipridae.